This is a non-coding RNA of Camelina sativa (false flax), 440 nucleotides long. Lineage: Eukaryota; Viridiplantae; Streptophyta; Magnoliopsida; Brassicales; Brassicaceae. The record is from RefSeq and is a predicted model, not a curated record.
UGGUUACUCUAGGUGACAAGGGUUGUAGAUACUACACCAAGAGCUUCCGUGGAUCUGUUGAUCCUUUCCAUGUGAACGCAGUGGAUACAACUGGUGCUGGUGAUUCUUAUGUUGGUGCCUUGCUUUGCAAGAUCGUUGAUGACCGUGCUGUGCUCGAGGACGAACCUCGUUUGAGAGAAGUGCUAAGGUUUGCAAAUGCUUGCGGAGCCAUCACUACAACAAAGAAAGGAGCAAUACCUGCUCUCCCUACAGAGGCUGAAGUUCAGAGCCUCCUGAAAGGAAACUGACUUACAAAUAGUCUGAAGUUUUUGGAUUUCACGUUUUAGUUUUUUCUGGCUUUGGCUUUUUCCCUUUUUUCUCUUUUGCUUUUGGCUCUGUGUUCUUGUAGAACUGACCAGAGAACCGUUCUAUUCUGUUUAUGAAACUCAUUUUAUUCCACA